GCUGGGCGUGGUGGUGUGUGCCUGUAGUCCCAACUACUCGGGAGGUUGAGGUGGGAGGAUUACUUGAGCCCAGAAAGUCAAGGCUGCAGUGAGAUAUGAUUGCCUCACUGCACUCUAGCCUGGGCAACAGAGCAAAACCCUGUCUCUU
This is a non-coding RNA of Homo sapiens (human), 148 nucleotides long. It matches the Rfam family "Metazoan signal recognition particle RNA". From Rfam's summary of the family: The signal recognition particle (SRP) is a universally conserved ribonucleoprotein. NCBI's taxonomy places the organism in Eukaryota, Metazoa, Chordata, Mammalia, Primates, Hominidae. The record is from Rfam.